GGUGAACGCUAGCGGUGCGCCUAACACAUGCAAGUCGAGCGGUAGAAUAAUAAUUGAUUUCUUCGGGAUGAUAAUAUUAUUUGAGAGCGGCGAACGGGUGAGUAAUGUGUUGAUACCUGCCCUUAAGUCAGGGAUAGUCUAGAGAAAUCUAGGUUAAUACCGGAUAGUCUCUUUGGAGUAAAGAUUUAUUACUUAAGGAGGGGUCUGCAUUCUAUCAGCUUGUUGGUAAGGUAAUGGCUUACCAAGGCUAUGACGGAUAACUGGUCUGAGAGGAUGAUCAGUCACAAUGGAACUGAGACACGGUCCAUACUCCUACGGGAGGCAGCAGUGAGGAAUCUUCCACAAUGGACGAAAGUCUGAUGGAGCGACACCGCGUGAAGGAUGACGGUCUAACGAUUGUAAACUUCUUUUCUGAGGGAGCAUAAUGAGAGUACCUUAGGAAUAAGGGACGGCUAAAUACGUGCCAGCAGCCGCGGUAAUACGUAUGUCCCAAGCGUUACCCGGAAUUACUGGGUGUAAAGGGUUUGUAGGUGGAAUAAUAAGUCAGAUAUGAAAGACCGGAGCUUAACUUCGUGUUUGUGUUUGAAACUGUUAUUCUAGAAUCAGGGAGAGGUAAGCGGAAUUCUAAGUGUAGGGGUGCAAUCCGUAGAUACUUAGAAGAACACCAAAAGCGAAGGCAGCUUACUGGAACUGUAUUGACGCUCAUAAACGAAAGCGUGGGGAGCGAAAAGG
RNAcentral lists this ribosomal RNA (732 nucleotides) under uncultured bacterium. Its description in RNAcentral is "bacterial SSU rRNA". It matches the Rfam family "Bacterial small subunit ribosomal RNA", at positions 28 to 776 of the family's 1533-position model. The record is from RNAcentral.